Molecule: ribosomal RNA, 497 nt
Filed under: uncultured bacterium
Lineage: Bacteria
Description: partial 16S ribosomal RNA
Rfam family: Bacterial small subunit ribosomal RNA
Source: RNAcentral
GACGAACGCUGGCGGCGUGCCUAAUACAUGCAAGUUGAGCGCUGAAGGUUGGUACUUGUACCGACUGGAUGAGCAGCGAACGGGUGAGUAACGCGUGGGGAAUCUGCCUUUGAGCGGGGGACAACAUUUGGAAACGAAUGCUAAUACCGCAUAAAAACUUUAAACACAAGUUUUAAGUUUGAAAGAUGCAAUUGCAUCACUCAAAGAUGAUCCCGCGUUGUAUUAGCUAGUUGGUGAGGUAAAGGCUCACCAAGGCGAUGAUACAUAGCCGACCUGAGAGGGUGAUCGGCCACAUUGGGACUGGGACACGGCCCAAACUCCUACGGGAGGCAGCAGUAGGGAAUCUUCGGCAAUGGACGAAAGUCUGACCGAGCAACGCCGCGUGAGUGAAGAAGGUUUUCGGAUCGUAAAACUCUGUUGGUAGAGAAGAACGUUGGUGAGAGUAGAAAGCUCAUCAAGUGACGGUAACUACCCAGAAAGGGACGGCUAACUACGUG